Molecule: unclassified non-coding RNA, 145 nt
Filed under: soil metagenome
Description: partial internal transcribed spacer 1
Source: RNAcentral
UAAUAAGUGUUUUAUGGCACUUUUUAAAUCCAUAUCCACCUUGUGUGCAAUGUCAGUCGAUCUUCUUCAGGGAGAUCGACCAAACAUCAACCUUUAUCUUUUAACUCUUUGUCUGAAAAAUAUUAUGAAUAAACAAUUCAAAAUA